Onthophagus taurus is the source of this 609-nucleotide non-coding RNA. The record is from RefSeq and is a predicted model, not a curated record. Lineage: Eukaryota; Metazoa; Arthropoda; Insecta; Coleoptera; Scarabaeidae.
CUUUACAUUACGAGCUUGGUGGUGUAAUUUGUGUGGAAAAGAAAAUUAAUUUUGUCUUGUUUAAAAUGUUUAUUAAUAUCGUUACCGCUCAUUAUCGCCUCGUAUUUGACAAGUACCAAGAAUGAGGUUAUGAUUUGUUAUAACCUGUCAAAAUGCGAUUUAAAAAGGAUUUUUUGUAAAAAACGUGGGAGAUAUCGAUAUUGCAAUUGUUAAGACGUAACAAAAAAUUGAUUACAAUUGAUUAGAAUCGAACAAUACGACGUGGAUUCGUGAAAAAUCCGUGACACCACCUACCACAUCAGGUUUUUUGUUCAAUCUCGGAAACUGGAGAAACGUAGUUAUGUUAGAACAAUCGCCCAAAAUCUAAUAAAUCGAUAACUAACACAUAUCGCGAACUUUGUAUCAAUAUCAAAGGUUGUCCCUUAUCUUUAUGUCCUUUUUUUGCUAAAAAUAUAAAUACGGCGUAUUCUUUUUUGAUGGGUUCUCAAUUGGCCACUUUCGAGACAUCUGCUUUUUUAAUCGGAUCACGAUAAGAAAUUAAAAUCAAAAUGGUACGGGCUUUUAUUGUAUUCAUUUAUGUAAUUUGCUAAUAAUAAUAUUGUGACAUAA